AUUGAACGCUGGCGGCAGGCCUAACACAUGCAAGUCGAGCGGAUGAAGGGAGCUUGCUCCUGGAUUCAGCGGCGGACGGGUGAGUAAUGCCUAGGAAUCUGCCUGGUAGUGGGGGAUAACGUCCGGAAACGGGCGCUAAUACCGCAUACGUCCUGAGGGAGAAAGUGGGGGUUCUUCGGACCUCACGCUAUCAGAUGAGCCUAGGUCGGAUUAGCUAGUUGGUGGGGUAAAGGCCUACCAAGGCGACGAUCCGUAACUGAUCUGAGAGGAUGAUCAGUCACACUGGAACUGAGACACGGUCCAGACUCCUACGGGAGGCAGCAGUGGGGAAUAUUGGACAAUGGGCGAAAGCCUGAUCCAGCCAUGCCGCGUGUGUGAAGAAGGUCUUCGGAUUGUAAAGCACUUUAAGUUGGGAGGAAGGGCAGUAAGUUAAUACCUUGCUGUUUUGACGUUACCAACAGAAUAAGCACCGGCUAACUUCGUG
This 484-nucleotide ribosomal RNA is filed under the name uncultured bacterium. RNAcentral's name for it is "partial 16S ribosomal RNA". It matches the Rfam family "Bacterial small subunit ribosomal RNA", at positions 30 to 507 of the family's 1533-position model. The record is from RNAcentral.